This 67-nucleotide transfer RNA is filed under the name Sepiadarium kochi. RNAcentral describes it as "tRNA-Ile". The record is from RNAcentral. Lineage: Eukaryota; Metazoa; Mollusca; Cephalopoda; Sepiida; Sepiadariidae.
AACACUGCGCCGGAACGAACGGAUUAUAUUGAUGUUAUAAAAUAUAAGGUAUAUACCUUCUGUGUUU